RNAcentral lists this ribosomal RNA (234 nucleotides) under uncultured bacterium. RNAcentral describes it as "partial 16S ribosomal RNA". It matches the Rfam family "Bacterial small subunit ribosomal RNA", at positions 96 to 334 of the family's 1533-position model. The record is from RNAcentral.
UGGCGGACGGGUGAGUAAUGUCUGGGAAACUGCCCGAUGGAGGGGGAUAACUACUGGAAACGGUAGCUAAUACCGCAUAACGUCGCAAGACCAAAGAGGGGACCUUCGGGCCUCUUGCCAUCGGAUGUGCCCAGAUGGGAUUAGCUAGUAGGUGGGGUAACGGCUCACCUAGGCGACGAUCCCUAGCUGGUCUGAGAGGAUGACCAGCCACACUGGAACUGAGGCACGGUCCAG